Molecule: long non-coding RNA, 588 nt
Organism: Mercenaria mercenaria
Lineage: Eukaryota; Metazoa; Mollusca; Bivalvia; Venerida; Veneridae
Exons: 3
Source: RefSeq, a predicted model, not a curated record
AUUUUGUUGUGAAAUUCACAAUCCAUGUCCAAAAGUGCUUGUUUUACUAUACAGCAAAGAAGGAGAAAUUAUACCGGGCCGACACCUAUAUGGCAAAUUCAGAAAGUGGAAUAUCUCAGCAACCACAGGGUUUACAGUCAUGAAACUUCACACACUAGUAGCUGAUAACAAUACAAAUCAGUGGCUAAAAGGAUAUUUCCAAGGCGAUGAAUUCCAUAUGUCAGAAGGAAAUUUAGAAUCGUACAACCAGUCAGCAGCUACCCAUAAACCAGACCAACCUAUUAAGUCGAGCGGGCAGAAGCUGUGAUUCCCAGUGUAACACCGCAGAAUGACGGCUAGUUUUCGGAUUACAUUUCUGUGCGGAAGGAUUAAAAAACUACACCAGACUGGUGGCCAUGACAGAUGUCAGUGGGAAAUUUAAACAUGGACUAGAUACUUUGAUGUGUAGCAAAAAAGUUCAUCGUUGAUGGUGGUGUUUUUCUGUGAUAUAUUGACUCGGAUAAUAUUACUCUUCAGAAAUACAGAGCUGUCAAUGCUGCAAUUUUGUUGUGAAAUUCACAAUCCAUGUCCAAAAGUGCUUGUUUUACU